AUACGUAGGAGGCGAGCGUUGUUCGGAAUCACUGGGCUUAAAGAGCGUGUAGGCGGAGUGUCAGGUGUCUUGUGAAAUCCCCGGGCUCAACCCGGGAACUGCUGGGCAAACCGGCACUCUUGAGGCAGGUAGAGGUCAUUGGAACGACUGGUGGAGCGGUGAAAUGCGUAGAUAUCAGUUGGAACGCCGGAGGCGAAAGCGAGUGACUGGGCCUGUUCUGACGCUGAGACGCGAAAGCGUGGGUAGCAAACAGGAUUAGAAACCCCGGUAGUCC
RNAcentral lists this ribosomal RNA (274 nucleotides) under uncultured bacterium. RNAcentral's name for it is "partial 16S ribosomal RNA". It matches the Rfam family "Bacterial small subunit ribosomal RNA", at positions 523 to 796 of the family's 1533-position model. The record is from RNAcentral.